UGAAAGGGAUUCCGGAAAAAAGCUAUCUAACAGCAAGUUAUUAUAAUUUAUUUAGUGCGUGAAAAGCCGCACAUAUAGAAAAAAGACGAGAAGACCCUAGAAAUUUUUUAAAAGUUCAGUAAAUUCUAUUUUGUUGGGGCGACAUAGUAACACUUAACCUACUAUAUUAACAUGCUACUUAUAAGACGUAAGAUAAAAUUACUCUAGGGAUAACAGCAUAAUUUAUUAUUAAGUUUGUGACCUCGAUGUUGGACUAGGAAAUAUUUUAUCUAGAAGAUAAGUUAUCAGGCUCUGUUCGAGCUCUAUUCUCCUACAUGAUCUGAGUUCAAAC
This 331-nucleotide ribosomal RNA is filed under the name Trochulus alpicola. RNAcentral describes it as "partial 16S ribosomal RNA". Lineage: Eukaryota; Metazoa; Mollusca; Gastropoda; Stylommatophora; Hygromiidae. The record is from RNAcentral.